UUUAUACGUCGAAUUUCGAUCGCGUCGAAUGUAAUACAAACAAUAGAUAAUGAAGCUUAAUGAGGUUUAUCAUCUUAUUAUUUAUUGUCUUAGUUGCAUUCGAUGCGACCAAAAUUCGACGUAUAAA
Molecule: microRNA precursor, 127 nt
Filed under: Paramuricea clavata
Lineage: Eukaryota; Metazoa; Cnidaria; Anthozoa; Malacalcyonacea; Plexauridae
Source: RNAcentral